This 72-nucleotide transfer RNA is filed under the name Dipodomys ordii (Ord's kangaroo rat). It matches the Rfam family "tRNA". Rfam says of the family: Transfer RNA (tRNA) molecules are approximately 80 nucleotides in length. Their secondary structure includes four short double-helical elements and three loops (D, anti-codon, and T loops). Further hydrogen bonds mediate the characteristic L-shaped molecular structure. tRNAs have two regions of fundamental functional importance: the anti-codon, which is responsible for specific mRNA codon recognition, and the 3' end, to which the tRNAs corresponding amino acid is attached (by aminoacyl-tRNA synthetases). tRNAs cope with the degeneracy of the genetic code in two manners: having more than one tRNA (with a specific anti-codon) for a particular amino acid; and 'wobble' base-pairing, i.e. permitting non-standard base-pairing at the 3rd anti-codon position. Lineage: Eukaryota; Metazoa; Chordata; Mammalia; Rodentia; Heteromyidae. The record is from Rfam by way of RNAcentral.
GUGAAAGUGGCUCAGUGGUAGAGUGCUUGCCUUGCAUGCAUGAGGCCCUGGGUUCAAUUCCUCAGUACCACA